UCUCAGAACGGUUAGAGCUCCGGCUCACAUGCCAUUACCGCUCGCUGCACAGCCAAGUUAAGGUCAAUAUUGCCCAACGCAGGAAGAAUGCGAUCUGCUAUUAUCCAAAUAGUUUAGCAGAAUGUGACAUGUCUGAAACGAACGCAGGAUUUUUGUCAAAUAUUUGCAGCGCAGAAUAAAAUAUUCCAACAUGCCUCCUAUUGACAUCAUCUUGCUUUCUCAAGGGCUCCAAGCCCAACACAAAACAGUGCGCAAGGGAGCCUCUCAGCCACAAGAAUAAUCUUGGAAGCACAUAAAAUACCAGAGCCCAUUACUUGGGAGACGCUGCCCCUUUUCCAUUCCAGGCAAGAAGGUUAAGGAAGUUGUUUGCAAUGAGAAUGGAAAAAGACUUAAAUCUGCUCUACCGAAUGAACACAACCAUCGGUUAACCCAUGGAACUCACUGCCAGUGGUUAUCUGGGGGCCAGGGGAUUAGUGAGAUUAUGCAAGGUUUAGAUGCUAAUGUAAAUCAUGAGAACAGUAAAUGCUCAGAUUCAGAAACACUGAGAAGGGACAGGCAACAAAUCACCUUGCUGGUAAGAGUUUGGAAAACACUUCCCUCCGGGGCAUACUAAGUCACAGGUGAGUGGGUCUUGACUCCUUCCCCUGAAGGCACAGCUGGGGAGAAGACCACUGUUCUGCCAGGUUCACUAAGGGAUCUUUCUGUUAGGUCCUUGAGAGCAGUAAGGCAGAGCCAUCGUCAGCCCUGUGAGCAUGGAGCCAAGACAAGCGGCACUGAGCUGGGGCGACUCAGCAACAGUCCUCACGCAGAGGCAGGCAGUCCCAGGGCAGAGGGCCUCCAAUCGAUAACCUCAGUUGCAGAAGCCUCACUGUCUUCCUGGAAACCCAAAGGCAAAGCAUUUGGCUGUUUUAAGGGACCAGCAGGAACACCCUAGCUCUGAUCCCCAAAGAAGGCUUGUCUUUUGUACACCAAUAUCCUUUAAAAGGAAUAAAUCUCCGAGCAAUGCUGUCAUAGGAAACAAGUCACCUUCAACAGCAAUCAGCUGGUGAGGAUUGACAGGAGUGUUAGACAGCUCUCUGGGCACCAGUGACCAUUUUCCAGCAGAGAACAGGGGGAGGAAUAACCCAAACUCUUAAGAUCUUAGCCUGUUUUCUGAAAUGGGAAUAUAAAACACAAUGAGGAAAUCAAGCCUGAUUUCCCUGUGCUGCAUUGUACAAUCCAGAGGUUACGAAAGCAAGCCUGCAUGCUUUCAUGCAGAAUACAAUAGCAAUAGGACUAUUUGCAUAUGUCUGAAGUACAAAACUGGCAUGUAUUUUAUCAGCAAAGGCAAAAUAUGUUUGAGUUCGAUUUUGUUCGCAAAGAACGUCCCUUCCUUAAAGAAAUGGCUCUUUCAUCCUUUCAUCAACAACUUUCCUCACAGCCCACUGGGAGUGCUGGUGGGUAAUGAGAACAGCUCGCUGCUGAAAGGUGGGAACUGCACUGCUGUGAGAGAAUUCAAAGGCACUUUGUUUUAGGUAAACUAGAAAUUAGUGACAUUACAAACAGCUGUUGAUUUAGCUGCACUGUCAGGCGAUGCAAGCUCAGACACUCUCCAUCCUAUGGCUCAGUGAAGGGAAGCAAGCAACCAUUCCAGAUUUAGCGCACAGCAAAGGGUGAUGAGGACAGAGAAGCUUCCCCAGAUCACUCUACAAAACUCGCAAGCCCUUCUGGGUCAAGACCCCAGGUGGAAAGGAAGAUGUGAAUGGGGAAACAGUUCCCCGCAAGGGAGAGAGACCAUCAGCCUGCAGUCUCUGGAAGAGAAUACUUGAUCAUCUGCUGAGCUCAACCAAUGACUCUAGUCCUGGCCACUAAGUCUACCAGGCUGGAAACCCAGUUCUGAAGAAAUUCUGAAAAAACAGCGUGUUCUCAGAUGUUCUGAAUGGACAGUUAAGGAUCUGUUUUUUAAUGGUAAACAAUUACAUUCCUCUGUCAUCUGAUACUUUUUAAAUUUUGGGGAGGGGGGAAGCUUUCUGAAUUUUCAAUAGUUCCUUUGUUAAAGCAUCUGUUACUCACAUAAUUGAAAAUAUGUUUGUUCAGUGGUAUGCUUGAGAGUGCAGUUAUUUAAUCUUAAUGAUAAAGCCCUGAGGGCAGAAAAUCUCAAGUAGAAACCUCUUUUUAUUUACCAAAAAAAUAACCAAAACGAAAAACAAAA
Long non-coding RNA from Tympanuchus pallidicinctus (lesser prairie-chicken), 2191 nucleotides. RefSeq lists it as uncharacterized. The transcript is spliced from 2 exons. Lineage: Eukaryota; Metazoa; Chordata; Aves; Galliformes; Phasianidae. The record is from RefSeq and is a predicted model, not a curated record.